Long non-coding RNA from Clupea harengus (Atlantic herring), 1035 nucleotides. NCBI's taxonomy places the organism in Eukaryota, Metazoa, Chordata, Actinopteri, Clupeiformes, Clupeidae. The record is from Ensembl.
GUGAGUGUGUAUGUGUGUGUGACAAAUAUACAAAUAUACAAAAAUGAAUAGCCCAUGGGUCUACAUGUAGUUUUGCAAAUGUUUUCACGUUCAGGACUAGGACUAAGACUAGGCUCCAGUUGAGUAGGCUGAGGCUGAGGCUGAGGCUGAGACUGAGGCUGAGGCUGAGUAUGAGGCUGUCAGGGAAAAGACCCUAAACAGUUAGUUAGCAGAUUAAAGACACCACCCAGCAUGGAAGUGAACUGGACUUGUUUACGCCGCGUCCGGCGGAGAGCAGACACCUUGCCCAGGGUCUCUCUGACGUGCCAUGCUAAAACAAAGUCCCUUUAUUGAAAAUCCAAUGUUUACACAGGAUGGCAGACAGGAUUCUGGGAUACACUUAGGAUACCUGCAGUUUAGCUGAAUUUUACUUCUGCCCAGCAACAAGACAUUCCACAAUCCCCCAAUUCCUUCUUAUCUUGCACCUGCUCUCUCCAACAGAGAUUAUACAACACCCAAUUCCUUCUUGCCUUAGGUAAACAUAUACGUGAGGUAUCUGGGUUAACAUUCUUGACUCUGCUAAUUGUCCUCCAAAGUCCAAUCUACAUGGAGAACGCAGGGCACACAGCAUUUUGGAACAAACCUUAAAACAAAAAGACAUUCAUGAUAAAAUAUAAUAAUACUUUCUUUAACAGAGGCUGAGGCUGAGGUUGAGGCUGAGGCUGAGGCUGAGGCUGAGACUGAGGCUGAGACUGAGGCUGAGGCUGAGACUGAGACUGAGCAGGCCGUAGCUGAGGCUGAGGCUGAGACUGAGACUGAGGCUGAGGCUGAGACUGAGCAGGCCGUAGCUGAGGCUGAGGUCGAUGACGGUGUUGCUCCAUAACCCUCCUUCUCCCCGCCGUAUACAAAUCGCACCAAUUAAUAAGACAGCACCCUCACCACAUACAGAGAGUGCACACUAAUAAGACAGCACCCUCACCACCUGCAGAGGGUGCACACUAAUAACACAGCACCCUCACCACUUGCAGAGGGUGCACACUAAUAAGACAAAUGUAC